Long non-coding RNA from Monodelphis domestica (gray short-tailed opossum), 1532 nucleotides. Lineage: Eukaryota; Metazoa; Chordata; Mammalia; Didelphimorphia; Didelphidae. The record is from Ensembl.
UGUUAGUGAUCUUAUUACUAUCAUUUAAAAAGUUCCUCUGAAGCUCAGGCUGGUUUUAUUUUUCAGGCUUUGCCCAUUGAAGCUCCAACAGGAAGAAAGGAAAACCACUUCUAGAAGCUUCCUCUUAGUCCUUGUGAUUUCAAGGGAAGAAAAAAGGAGAGAGAUUAAAAUAUUUACACAAGUCUGAUUGUUUGCCUUUACAUCCUGGAAGACACAUAGUAGCAGAAAGCAGACAAACAUCUGUAAGUGUUUAGAGUGGGGAAAAAGAAACAAUUAGGUUUCAACUAGAGCCUGUCCAGAGAUUGGGGGGAUCCAGAACGAUCAGGCUUCCGCCCUACUUAUAUUGCUCUGCUCUGCUGUGGCUGCAAGAGGAAGUGAGUGGCCUUUGGGUCCUUGAUGUUAAUCCAAGUCUCUUUGAUACUGAGUGAAAGGCAUCAUCGCCCACAAAAGCUUCCCAUAUGUGUCAGCAGGGGGUGCUGUGCCCCCAGAUACCGGACUGCAGCCAAGCCGCCACUGAAAAGGAUAAUGGAAGACUUUAUUUCAACUGGACCUUCUCUCCCGCACUCCCGCCCUUUCCCCUCAAUCUCCCCCCCUCCCUUCCCCAAAGCAGUGGCUGCGGGUAUUAGCGCAGCUGCUUCCCAGGCUCAGGUCGAGCCUUUCAGUAUUUCUCAUCAAAACUGUCGUCUAGGAAUCAGGAGGAAGAUGUUGGCUUAGGAGCAGUGAAAGAUGAAACUACUUGGACAGUCCUUCCAAACCAAUCUUUAAAAAGCACCUCAAGAUGACCAGAAUCAAAAAACCAACAGCAAGAUGGAGUGAGGCUACUUUCCGACUGAACACAACUUGAAAGGUAGGCAGAAACAGCUGAUUUUCACAGGAUAAGGAGGAACCGGAAGCAAAAUUACAUAUAGAGGAGUGCUGGCCAACGCUUGCCCACCUAUUACACCAGAUUCUGAGGCUGGGCAUAGGCAAACUCUGGGAUCCCAGGGCCCUGCCUAUACUAACAACAGAGCACCCCACACCCAAGACCCACCCCUUGAAUUCCCAGAUCCCAUUAACCACCUGUAGCAAAGCCUAGAAGUCCAUAGUGCUUGGCCCUUUCAAGUCUGUAGCUAUGGUAAAUCCCUUAGGCCCAGGACAGCUAGGACUGUUGAGUCCUGUAAGCCAUCAGUGGAGGAGAGAGAAUUAGCAGCUUUCAGAAUUCCCAAUCCAUUAGCAAAAACAGGCUGGGAAAAUGAGCAAAUAGCAAAAGAAACACCUAGCCCUAGAAUAUUUCUACAGUGACAAAGAGCAAGGCAUAACCAGUAGGGGAUGAUGAGAUCCAAGCAACCACAUGUAAAACUCCAGAGAAAAAUGGGAAUUGGUCUCAGGAACUGGAAAAACUAGAAAAGGAAUUCAAUCCAAAAAGAUAGUUUGAAGAAAAAUGGGGAAAAAUGAAAAUAAUGCAAAAAUGUUAUUUACAUGAUAGAAUGUAGAAUGGAUUUAAUCUAAGAAGAUGCAAUAAAUAGAGAUAAAUGUAAAAUCUAUUGGAGGGG